CCUACGGGAGACAGCAGUGAGGAAUAUUGGUCAAUGGGCGCGAGCCUGAACCAGCCAAGUAGCGUGAAGGAUGACUGCCCUACGGGUUGUAAACUUCUUUUGUCAGGGAGCAAUUGGGUCCACGCGUGGGCUUAGCGAGAGUACCUGAAGAAAAAGCAUCGGCUAACUCCGUGCCAGCAGCCGCGGUAAUAUGGAGGAUGCGAGCGUUAUCCGGAUUUAGUGGGUUUAAAGGGUGCGUAGGCGGAAUAUCAAGUCAGCGGUAAAAAUUCGGGGCUCAACCCCGUCGUGCCGUUGAAACUGAUGUUCUUGAGUGGGCGAGAAGUAUGCGGAAUGCGUGGUGUAGCGGUGAAAUGCAUAGAUAUCACGCAGAACUCCGAUUGCGAAGGCAGCAUACCGGCGCCCAACUGACGCUGAAGCACGAAAGCGUGGGUAUCGAACAGGAUUAGAUACCCGAGUAGUC
This 460-nucleotide ribosomal RNA is filed under the name uncultured bacterium. Its description in RNAcentral is "partial 16S ribosomal RNA". It matches the Rfam family "Bacterial small subunit ribosomal RNA", at positions 338 to 795 of the family's 1533-position model. The record is from RNAcentral.